RNAcentral lists this unclassified non-coding RNA (379 nucleotides) under uncultured Candidatus Midichloriaceae bacterium. RNAcentral describes it as "contains 16S-23S intergenic spacer region". Lineage: Bacteria; Pseudomonadati; Pseudomonadota; Alphaproteobacteria; Rickettsiales; Candidatus Midichloriaceae. The record is from RNAcentral.
UCCGGCUUAUCACCGGCAGUUUCCUUAGAGUGCCCGACAUAACUCGCUGGUAACUAAGGAUAAGGGUUGCGCUCGUUGCGGGACUUAACCCAACAUCUCACGACACGAGCUGACGACAGCCAUGCAACACCUGUAAUGGUCCGGCCGAACCGACUCGUAGAUCUCUCUACAAAUUAACCAUCAUGUCAAGGCCUGGUAAGGUUUUUCGCGUAGCAUCGAAUUAAACCACAUGUUCCACUGCUUGUGCGGGUCCCCGUCAAUUCCGUUUGAGUUUUAAUCUUGCGAUCGUACUUCCCAGGCGGAGUGCUUAACGCGUUAACUACGACACCGAGGACAUAAGCCCCGAUAUCUAGCACUCAUCGUUUAGGGCGUGGACUAC